AUUGCUGUGCUGAAUAGAACACACCUGAUUUUGUCUGAUCUCAGAAAGUAAGUACACCUGGGCCUGGCUAGUAGAUGAGUAAGAGACCACCUAGGAAUCCUGAGUAUGGUAGUU
Molecule: ribosomal RNA, 114 nt
Filed under: Crocodylus porosus (Australian saltwater crocodile)
Lineage: Eukaryota; Metazoa; Chordata; Crocodylia; Crocodylidae
Source: RNAcentral